Molecule: ribosomal RNA, 293 nt
Filed under: uncultured bacterium
Lineage: Bacteria
Description: partial 16S ribosomal RNA
Rfam family: Archaeal small subunit ribosomal RNA
Source: RNAcentral
GUGCCAGCCGCCGCGGUACUACCGACAGCCCGAGUGAUGGCCACUCCUAUUGGGCCUAAAGCGUCCGUAGCCGGCCUCGCAAGUCCGUCGGGAAAUCCACCCGCCCAACGGGUGGGCGUCCGGUAGAAACUGGCCGGCUUGGAACCGGAAGGCUCAGAGAGUACGUCCGGGGUAUGAGUGAAAUCCCGUAAUCCCGGACGGACUACCGAUGGCGAAAGCACUCUGAGAAGACGGCUUCGACAGUGAGGGACGAAAGCUCGGGUCUCAAACCGGAUUAGAGACCCGAGUAGUCC